RNAcentral lists this unclassified non-coding RNA (363 nucleotides) under Hevea brasiliensis (rubber tree). Lineage: Eukaryota; Viridiplantae; Streptophyta; Magnoliopsida; Malpighiales; Euphorbiaceae. The record is from RNAcentral.
AUUGAAGAUCUUUUGUUUCACUGAUAUGGCGUUCUGGACUUCCUUGGAAUGCAGAAGCCCAUAAAGAAAGAAUAUCAAAAACUUGAUCCUCAAGUUCCUCUUUUGGCAUGCACGCAAGCAAUGAGGACAACAGCAUCCAGCCAGCCUCCUUUUCAACAGCUGCUGCCAUAGGAUUCCGACUUGAUUCCAUUAUCAUUUUCUUAGACAGUUCAAGUACUGAUCUGGGCAACCGAGAUGGAUAACCAAGAGGCAAGCUUGGAGAAAUAGACACCAAAGCUGCCAAAACUGCAGCCUGACCAUCUAGACACUCCAGCUCAUACUUUAGAUUAGCUCCCUUUUCAAAUGAAAUAUUAUCUCUAACUG